GCAAGUCGAACGAGAAAGCUUUAGCUUGCUAGAGCGAGUAAAGUGGCGCACGGGUGAGUAACGCGUGGGUAAUCUACCCUUGAAUUUGGGAUAACACUUCGAAAGGGGUGCUAAUACCGGAUAAUAUCUUUUGUAUUGCGGUACGAAAGAUCAAAGAUAGCCUCUUCCUGAAAGCUAUUGUUUGGGGAUGAGCCCGCGUACCAUUAGCUUGUUGGUGGGGUAAUGGCCUACCAAGUUUACGAUCUAUAGCUGGUUUGAGAGGAUGAUC
Molecule: ribosomal RNA, 268 nt
Filed under: uncultured bacterium
Lineage: Bacteria
Description: partial 16S ribosomal RNA
Rfam family: Bacterial small subunit ribosomal RNA
Source: RNAcentral